UACGGAGGAUCCGAGCGUUAUCCGGAUUUAUUGGGUUUAAAGGGUGCGUAGGUGGAUUGGUAAGUCAGUGGUGAAAGUUUGCAGCUUAACUGUAAAAUUGCCGUUGAAACUGCCGUUCUUGAGUGCAAAUGAGGUAGGCGGAAUGCGUCGUGUAGCGGUGAAAUGCUUAGAUAUGACGCAGAACUCCGAUUGCGAAGGCAGCUUACUGGGAUGCAACUGACGCUGAGGCACGAAAGCGUGGGUAUCAAACAGGAUUAGAUACCCCU
RNAcentral lists this ribosomal RNA (266 nucleotides) under uncultured prokaryote. RNAcentral describes it as "partial 16S ribosomal RNA". It matches the Rfam family "Bacterial small subunit ribosomal RNA", at positions 524 to 788 of the family's 1533-position model. The record is from RNAcentral.